GCCCCAGCAAGCCAGGAAGGAGGCUGGCAGAGCUCCCUGCAGCAGACCCUCCCUGCAGUAGAACAGACCAUCCAGCACAGCUUUUGCAGAUUUUAAACAACACUGGAGACAAUAUGGACACCUGACGGACACCAUACAAAAGUUCAGAUUUUGAAGAACAACAGUCUCCAACAGACACCAUCUGGAAUCUGUCUGAGAGGCAUACUGGUGUUUGGAGGGUCUUCAAAAUAAACUGCGAGUGUUUCCCCAAGAAACGUGGAUAAAGCUCGCAAAUGAAAUGCCUCCCCUAUUGCAGGGAUAAGCAAUAUUAAAUUUAAACAGAAGAAGUUAUGAACAAGCUGGUGGAUAAUGCUCCCAAAUAUAGUAUCUUCCUUUAUGCAGAAAUAUUAGAAAAAUAAACUGAAUAACUUGUGAACAAGCAAGGUGUAUAUGGCUCCCAAAUGGAAUAUCUCCCUUUCUGCAGGGAUAUAUAAUAUAAAUAGAGGAAAUUAUUCUGAAAAGCAAAGUCAGUGCUCUGAUCCUUUCUGUAGGGAUGUAUAAUAUAAACAAUUCUGAAGCAAGUGCUCUCUCAAAUGAAUCAGACCUUUUUCUGCAGGGAAAUCCAUGCACUCUGAGACAAACAGUGAGA
This is a long non-coding RNA of Hemicordylus capensis (graceful crag lizard), 628 nucleotides long. RefSeq lists it as uncharacterized. The record is from RefSeq and is a predicted model, not a curated record. The transcript is spliced from 3 exons. NCBI's taxonomy places the organism in Eukaryota, Metazoa, Chordata, Lepidosauria, Squamata, Cordylidae.